UACUCAAAAAGCUGUCAGUCACUUAUGUUACAUGUGACUGACACCUCUUUAGAUGAA
RNAcentral lists this microRNA precursor (57 nucleotides) under Macaca mulatta (Rhesus monkey). RNAcentral's name for it is "Mml-Mir-506-P6c_pre stem-loop". Lineage: Eukaryota; Metazoa; Chordata; Mammalia; Primates; Cercopithecidae. The record is from RNAcentral.